Molecule: ribosomal RNA, 2142 nt
Filed under: Escherichia coli
Lineage: Bacteria; Pseudomonadati; Pseudomonadota; Gammaproteobacteria; Enterobacterales; Enterobacteriaceae
Description: partial 23S ribosomal RNA
Rfam family: Bacterial large subunit ribosomal RNA
Source: RNAcentral
GUUAAGCGACUAAGCGUACACGGUGGAUGCCCUGGCAGUCAGAGGCGAUGAAGGACGUGCUAAUCUGCGAUAAGCGUCGGUAAGGUGAUAUGAACCGUUAUAACCGGCGAUUUCCGAAUGGGGAAACCCAGUGUGAUUCGUCACACUAUCAUUAACUGAAUCCAUAGGUUAAUGAGGCGAACCGGGGGAACUGAAACAUCUAAGUACCCCGAGGAAAAGAAAUCAACCGAGAUUCCCCCAGUAGCGGCGAGCGAACGGGGAGCAGCCCAGAGCCUGAAUCAGUGUGUGUGUUAGUGGAAGCGUCUGGAAAGGCGCGCGAUACAGGGUGACAGCCCCGUACACAAAAAUGCACAUACUGUGAGCUCGAUGAGUAGGGCGGGACACGUGGUAUCCUGUCUGAAUAUGGGGGGACCAUCCUCCAAGGCUAAAUACUCCUGACUGACCGAUAGUGAACCAGUACCGUGAGGGAAAGGCGAAAAGAACCCCGGCGAGGGGAGUGAAAAAGAACCUGAAACCGUGUACGUACAAGCAGUGGGAGCACAGAGCAAUCUGUGUGACUGCGUACCUUUUGUAUAAUGGGUCAGCGACUUAUAUUCUGUAGCAAGGUUAACCGAAUAGGGGAGCCGAAGGGAAACCGAGUCUUAACUGGGCGUUAAGUUGCAGGGUAUAGACCCGAAACCCGGUGAUCUAGCCAUGGGCAGGUUGAAGGUUGGGUAACACUAACUGGAGGACCGAACCGACUAAUGUUGAAAAAUUAGCGGAUGACUUGUGGCUGGGGGUGAAAGGCCAAUCAAACCGGGAGAUAGCUGGUUCUCCCCGAAAGCUAUUUAGGUAGCGCCUCGUGAAUUCAUCUCCGGGGGUAGAGCACUGUUUCGGCAAGGGGGUCAUCCCGACUUACCAACCCGAUGCAAACUGCGAAUACCGGAGAAUGUUAUCACGGGAGACACACGGCGGGUGCUAACGUCCGUCGUGAAGAGGGAAACAACCCAGACCGCCAGCUAAGGUCCCAAAGUCAUGGUUAAGUGGGAAACGAUGUGGGAAGGCCCAGACAGCCAGGAUGUUGGCUUAGAAGCAGCCAUCAUUUAAAGAAAGCGUAAUAGCUCACUGGUCGAGUCGGCCUGCGCGGAAGAUGUAACGGGGCUAAACCAUGCACCGAAGCUGCGGCAGCGACGCUGAUGCGUUGUUGGGUAGGGGAGCGUUCUGUAAGCCUGUGAAGGUGUGCUGUGAGGCAUGCUGGAGGUAUCAGAAGUGCGAAUGCUGACAUAAGUAACGAUAAAGCGGGUGAAAAGCCCGCUCGCCGGAAGACCAAGGGUUCCUGUCCAACGUUAAUCGGGGCAGGGUGAGUCGACCCCUAAGGCGAGGCCGAAAGGCGUAGUCGAUGGGAAACAGGUUAAUAUUCCUGUACUUGGUGUUACUGCGAAGGGGGGACGGAGAAGGCUAUGUUGGCCGGGCGACGGUUGUCCCGGUUUAAGCGUGUAGGCUGGUUUUCCAGGCAAAUCCGGAAAAUCAAGGCUGAGGCGUGAUGACGAGGCACUACGGUGCUGAAGCAACAAAUGCCCUGCUUCCAGGAAAAGCCUCUAAGCAUCAGGUAACAUCAAAUCGUACCCCAAACCGACACAGGUGGUCAGGUAGAGAAUACCAAGGCGCUUGAGAGAACUCGGGUGAAGGAACUAGGCAAAAUGGUGCCGUAACUUCGGGAGAAGGCACGCUGAUAUGUAGGUGAAGUCCCUCGCGGAUGGAGCUGAAAUCAGUCGAAGAUACCAGCUGGCUGCAACUGUUUAUUAAAAACACAGCACUGUGCAAACACGAAAGUGGACGUAUACGGUGUGACGCCUGCCCGGUGCCGGAAGGUUAAUUGAUGGGGUCAGCGCAAGCGAAGCUCUUGAUCGAAGCCCCGGUAAACGGCGGCCGUAACUAUAACGGUCCUAAGGUAGCGAAAUUCCUUGUCGGGUAAGUUCCGACCUGCACGAAUGGCGUAAUGAUGGCCAGGCUGUCUCCACCCGAGACUCAGUGAAAUUGAACUCGCUGUGAAGAUGCAGUGUACCCGCGGCAAGACGGAAAGACCCCGUGAACCUUUACUAUAGCUUGACACUGAACAUUGAGCCUUGAUGUGUAGGAUAGGUGGGAGGCUUUGAAGUGUGG